UUUUUUUUCUUUUUUUCUUUUUUUUUUCUGAGAUGGAAUCUUGCUCUGUUGCCCAGGCUGGAGUGCAGUGCCGUGAUCUCGGCUCACCGCAACCUCCACCUCCCACGUUCAAGUGAUUCUCCUGCCUCAGCCUCCCCAGUAGCUGGGAUUACCGAUGUGUGCCACCACAGCCGGCUAAUUUUUGUAUUUUUCAUAGAGAUGGAGUUUCACCGUGUUGGCCAGUCCAGUCUCGAGCUCCCAACCUCAGGUCAUCUCCCUGCCUCAGCCUCCUAAAGUGCUGGGAUUACAGGUAUGAGCCACUGUGCCCAGCCUCAAACGAAAUAAAAUUUCUGAAUGUCCUCAUGUUAAAAUGGUUGGGAAGCACUGACUUACAGUAUGUCCCCUGAGGCCUGUGCUCUAGAGAAAAAUUACCCUAGGUAAGGACCAUAGGGACGCAGCAAGUGUCAAGGCCCUGCGGUGGGCCAGUGUGACUGGAGCUCGAAUAACGGGGCAGUGGGAGAAGAUGAGGUCAGAAUCAGGCUGCAGCCACGGCAGCUAUGACCUCAUAGGACAUGGUGAAGAGGGGGCUGUGGGAAGCCACUGGAAAGAAUGAAGCAGAGAAGGAACAUGACCAGAUUCGAGGCUUAGAAAGCCACUUUGGCUGCUGUGUAGAGAAUGGACUGGGUGGAGUGAGACGGGAAGCAAGGAGGCAAGCUGGGUGGUUCCUGUAGUAAGCCAGGUGGGAGAGGGCAGGCGCUUGCACUGAAGGCUGCAGAGACGAAAGAAGUGGAGGGAUGUGAGACGUAUCUGGAGAGGGAAUCUAUAGAGUUUGCUUGGGAAUGGGAUGGGAGGGGAGUGAUACGAGGUGAGGGAAGUAAGUGAGGCUACUACCGGGUUUGUGCUUCCACUAUGGAGUGGAGGGUCGUAGCACAGACUGCAGUGAAGAAGACAGGUUUGAAGGUGGAAAUCAAGCAUCUUGUUCAGGACCUAUGAAGUUGUGGAGCCCAGCUGACAUCCAAGUGGGGACAGCCCAUAGGUGGUAUUUGUUGACUGCGUAAGUGAGCUCAAGUCUUCUGGUGGGGAACACGGUCUGUAGUGAGGUUCCGGUGGGGAGCACGGUCUGUAUGAGGUUCCGGUGGGGAGCACGGUCUGUAGUGAGGUUCCGGUGGGGAGCACGGUCUGUAGUGAGGUUCCGGUGGGGAGCACGGUCUGUAGUGAGGUUCCGGUGGGGAGCACGGUCUGUAGUGAGGUUCCGGUGGGGAGCACGGUCUGUAGUGAGGUUCCGGUGGGGAGCACGGUCUGUAGUGAGGUUCCGGUGGGGAGCACGGUCUGUAGUGAGGUUCCGGUGGGGAGCACGGUCUGUAGUGAGGUUCCGGUGGGGAGCACGGUCUGUAGUGAGGUUCUGGUGGGGAACACGGUCUGUAGUAAGGCAUAGUGCUGAGUUUUAGACAACUCUGCCGAAACCCCUUAGGUGGAGAAGACGUCGGCUGCCCUGGGCCUUGCACCCACUGGUUCUGGAUGUGUCAUCUCCCAGGCUCACAUGCUGGAUUCACGUCGGUCCUCCCUCCUCUGUGGCCACUCUUCAGAGACUGGGUCUCCUACUCUUUUCCUCACAGGGCAUUUCUAGGCUCCUCACUAUCCUAUUCAGAUUCUCAUUUUCGGAGCCUCUUUGAGUUUGAAGACGGCGGUCUGUGUUCUGCCACUGCCAGCCCCCGUGAAAACACCAUUUCUUUGGUUCUUCAUAACCCUGCGAGACAGAGCCCACCACCCCCAUUUUAGAGAGUGUAAGCUGAGGCUGAGGGUCCCAUGCUAUACAUAAAUUCCACAGUGGGAUUCGAGCCCAGAACAAACGGACUUAAGAGCCCCCCACUCCAUCUCACUCUAUAUUCUCACUCCAUCCCUUUGGUUUUCACAUUUACCUGCAUUUUCUUUCAGGACUUUUGAAUCACCUCUCAAAGUUGAGAAGACAAGGGGCUGAAAUCUUCCCGUCAGAUGUAGGG
Molecule: long non-coding RNA, 1979 nt
Filed under: Macaca mulatta (Rhesus monkey)
Lineage: Eukaryota; Metazoa; Chordata; Mammalia; Primates; Cercopithecidae
Description: lncRNA (ENSMMUG00000063462.1)
Source: RNAcentral